This 586-nucleotide ribosomal RNA is filed under the name uncultured Planctomycetota bacterium. RNAcentral's name for it is "bacterial SSU rRNA". It matches the Rfam family "Bacterial small subunit ribosomal RNA", at positions 338 to 916 of the family's 1533-position model. The record is from RNAcentral. Lineage: Bacteria; Pseudomonadati; Planctomycetota.
CCUACGGGAGGCAGCAGUCGAGAAUCUUCCACUAAUGUGCGAAAGCAUGAUGGAGCGACGCCGCGUGGACGAUGAAGGCCUUCGGGUCGUAAAGUCCUGUCACAUGGGCCUAAUCCCUCAGAGCUAAUACCUCUUGAGGUCGAAGUCCCAUGAGAGGAAGCACCGGCUAAAUUCGUGCCAGCAGCCGCGGUAAUACGAAUGGUGCAAGCGUUGUUCGGAAUCACUGGGCAUAAAGAGCACGUAGGCGGUGGCGUAAGUCAGUUGUGAAAUCCCUCGGCUCAACCGAGGAACUGCAACUGAAACUGCGCCGCUAGAGUGCGGGAGGGGAGAGUGGAAUUCCAGGUGGAGCGGUGAAAUGCGUAGAUAUCUGGAGGAACGCCGGAGGCGAAAGCGACUCUCUGGUCCGCGACUGACGCUGAGGUGCGAAAGCUAGGGGAGCGAACAGGAUUAGAUACCCUGGUAGUCCUAGCCGUAAACGAUGGGCACUAAGUAGAGGGGCUCCGAAGGCCUCUCUGCCGGAGCUAAUGUGUUAAGUGCCCCGCCUGGGGAGUAUGGUCGCAAGGCUAAAACUCAAAGGAAUUGACGG